Molecule: long non-coding RNA, 303 nt
Organism: Fukomys damarensis (Damara mole-rat)
Lineage: Eukaryota; Metazoa; Chordata; Mammalia; Rodentia; Bathyergidae
Exons: 3
Source: RefSeq, a predicted model, not a curated record
AAAAGGAAAAAAGUAAACAUUUAUUGUCUAUUAAAAUUAGAGAUAAGCAUAUCAAUUGAUGUUGCAAAGGAACUCUUUCACAGGCAACACAUACAGUGUGGUUCCCUUCCUUCAGAACACAGGGGCAUUGUCAUGUAAACUAAAGCAGCCUUCUUAUAACCAUGGAAACAACUCAAGAACCAAGAAAACACAAUGAAAAUGACAGAAAGAAGAGUAAUCCAAAACUGGAAUCACUGAAAGCUGCACAUGUAUGUCUGGUUCAUUGUCAAGAUCCACUGGACCGGCAACAAUCAGCAUAAACAG